This 497-nucleotide ribosomal RNA is filed under the name uncultured bacterium. RNAcentral describes it as "partial 16S ribosomal RNA". It matches the Rfam family "Bacterial small subunit ribosomal RNA", at positions 28 to 507 of the family's 1533-position model. The record is from RNAcentral.
GAUGAACGCUGGCGGCGUGCCUAAUACAUGCAAGUCGAGCGAACAGAUGAGGAGCUUGCUCCUCUGACGUUAGCGGCGGACGGGUGAGUAACACGUGGAUAACCUACCUAUAAGACUGGGAUAACUUCGGGAAACCGGAGCUAAUACCGGAUAAUACAUUGAACCGCAUGGUUCAAUAGUGAAAGACGGUUUUGCUGUCACUUAUAGAUGGAUCCGCGCCGCAUUAGCUAGUUGGUAAGGCAACGGCUUACCAAGGCAACGAUGCGUAGCCGACCUGAGAGGGUGAUCGGCCACACUGGAACUGAGACACGGUCCAGACUCCUACGGGAGGCAGCAGUAGGGAAUCUUCCGCAAUGGGCGAAAGCCUGACGGAGCAACGCCGCGUGAGUGAUGAAGGUCUUCGGAUCGUAAAACUCUGUUAUUAGGGAAGAACAAAUGUGUAAGUAACUAUGCACGUCUUGACGGUACCUAAUCAGAAAGCCACGGCUAACUACGUG